This 27-nucleotide non-coding RNA is filed under the name Homo sapiens (human). Lineage: Eukaryota; Metazoa; Chordata; Mammalia; Primates; Hominidae. The record is from RNAcentral.
UUGGACCUGUCCAAGAUCGGUAAUAGC